UGCGGGCAGAGCCUGCCGGCGGCGGCAGCUCCCGGCCACCGACCAGAGCCGGCACCGGCGGCAGCCGGGAAGACGCAAGGAGCCCGGGCAGAGCCGCCCCCGCCGGCCCGUGCCCCGGGGCUGGGGGCCGCGGGGGCCGCUGCUCGGCCGGCGGCAAACCCUGCCCGCCCCCUCUGCCCGCCCGAGGGGGGGGGGGGGGGGAGUGCGGGGCGGGGGGGGAGCGGCCCCCGCCUCCCGCUUCGCCCGGGGACCCGCCGUCCUGCCCUCGACACGGCAUCACGACUCCCGGCCGCCCUGCCCCGGCCGUGCCCGCACCCUGGAGCGGACGAACGAACGGACGGACGGACGGACGGACGGACGGAUGGGCGGCAUCCCCGACGGAGGGAUGUUUCUGUCUUUGGUUAUCUAGCUGUAUGAGUGUUGUGGAGCCAUCAUAAAGCUAGAUAACCGAAAGUAGAAAUGACUUCCAGACCUACUCGCCCGGGGGAAGCGGCCGCACCAGGACCGGCGGUGCAGAGGCGACCCGACCCGCCGCCCUCGGGGCUCCAGACAUGACUGCCAGUUUGCGGAGUGGGAUGCCUUGGGAAGGGCUGGGACGUCUCCACCUGAGCAAGGAGAGAUCCCAGUGAGUGGAGAAAGGACUUUUCAAGCCCGUGAGUUCCUUCUUGCAGUUGGAUGCCACCUGCCCAGACUUGCCAUCUGACGUCUCCAGGUUUCUCCAGGAGGGUCCUGACCUGCUUCUCCAGUGGCCCCAGAGAGAAGGUGUCUUUGGCUCAUGAACACAGAGGGUUUCUGCAUUACUUCAAUUCAUGCCCGUCCAGCUGUGGGGAGGCAGCCAGGGCAACACAGGGAGCCAGGGGAUCAUCCCACACCACUCCUGUACGUUGUCUUUGGUGCCCAAAAUACCCUGGAGCAGGACCACAGUGCUUAGGCAGAGGGAUCUGAGCAAACCACCGUCUCACCUGGCAAAAUAACUGGGUGCCCAAAGGUUGGAGGGAGCUUUUACCACCAGGCUUUGCUCAUGGAGCAGAGCUCAGCCCUUGCUGCUCUUCAUCCCUGGGUGUGCGGAGCUGCAGGAGUGCAGCCAUCCCGACGGUGCUGUGCUCGGGGCCCAGGGCACUGUCAGUCUGUCCGGGCCAGGCAGCCCGACUGCUGUUUUACUGCACCCUCUCUGUUCCUGUAAGAGAAACGUACUGGCUGUAAUUCUCUCCCAUUAAAAUCCCCCCACCCCAUGCACUGUUGAAAAUAAACUCUCCCUUUUUGCAAAA
Tyto alba (common barn owl) is the source of this 1268-nucleotide long non-coding RNA. RefSeq lists it as uncharacterized. The record is from RefSeq and is a predicted model, not a curated record. The transcript is spliced from 4 exons. Lineage: Eukaryota; Metazoa; Chordata; Aves; Strigiformes; Tytonidae.